Molecule: ribosomal RNA, 254 nt
Filed under: uncultured bacterium
Lineage: Bacteria
Description: partial 16S ribosomal RNA
Rfam family: Bacterial small subunit ribosomal RNA
Source: RNAcentral
UACGUAGGGGGCAAGCGUUGUCCGGAGUUACUGGGCGUAAAGCGCACGCAGGUGGUCUCUUAAGUUUGGAGUGACAGUUGGUGGCUUAACUGCCAAAGUGCUUCGAAAACUGAGAGACUUGAGGGCUUCAGAGGGACACGGAAUUCCGGGUGUAGCGGUGGAAUGCGUAGAGAUCCGGAAGAACACCGGUGGCGAAGGCGGCCUGCUGGGCUAUGGGCUGACACUGAGGCGCGACAGCGUGGGGAGCAAACAGG